RNAcentral lists this ribosomal RNA (579 nucleotides) under uncultured bacterium. RNAcentral describes it as "partial 16S ribosomal RNA". It matches the Rfam family "Bacterial small subunit ribosomal RNA", at positions 355 to 932 of the family's 1533-position model. The record is from RNAcentral.
UGGGGAAUUUUGGACAAUGGGCGAAAGCCUGAUCCAGCAAUGCCGCGUGUGUGAAGAAGGCCUUCGGGUUGUAAAGCACUUUUGUCCGGAAAGAAAUCCUUGGCUCUAAUACAGUCGGGGGAUGACGGUACCGGAAGAAUAAGCACCGGCUAACUACGUGCCAGCAGCCGCGGUAAUACGUAGGGUGCAAGCGUUAAUCGGAAUUACUGGGCGUAAAGCGUGCGCAGGCGGUUUGCUAAGACCGAUGUGAAAUCCCCGGGCUCAACUGGGAACUGCAUUGGUGACUGGCAGGCUAGAGUAUGGCAGAGGGGGGUAGAAUUCCACGUGUAGCAGUGAAAUGCGUAGAGAUGUGGAGGAAUACCGAUGGCGAAGGCAGCCCCCUGGGCCAAUACUGACGCUCAUGCACGAAAGCGUGGGGAGCAAACAGGAUUAGAUACCCUGGUAGUCCACGCCCUAAAACGAUGUCAACUAGUUGUUGGGGAUUCAUUUCCUUAGUAACGUAGCUAACGCGUGAAGUUGACCGCCUGGGGAGUACGGUCGCAAGAUUAAAACUCAAAGGAAUUGACGGGGUCAUAGCUG